Molecule: RNA transcript, 982 nt
Organism: Rhodamnia argentea
Lineage: Eukaryota; Viridiplantae; Streptophyta; Magnoliopsida; Myrtales; Myrtaceae
Gene name: auxin-induced in root cultures protein 12-like
Exons: 3
Source: RefSeq, a predicted model, not a curated record
CGCCCCCAACAUUUGUUUUCACUAUAUAUUCAUGCUCCCACCUUCCCCACGCAGCUAAAACCAACCCAAAACACACAACCUUCCACCGAAAAAUGGCCGCCGAUGCCGCCGCCGCCACCGCUUUUCUCUUCAUUCUCCUUUCACUCAUCACCCCCUCUCUCGGUCUGACCUGCAACCCCCACCCCUCCUUCCCCAACAACAGGACUUACUCCAGCUGCACCGCCCUCCCCCACCUCAACGCCACCCUCCACUUCACCUUCGACCCCUCCAACUCCUCCCUCUCCCUCGCUUUCUCCGCCGCGCGGCCCUCCUCCUCCCCCGGUGGCGGCGGAGGCGGAUGGGUCGCCUGGGCCAUCAACCCGACCUCCACCGGCAUGGUUGGAGCGCAAGCACUGAUGGCGCUCAAGAGCUCCGCCGGCUCAGUCGUUGCCAAGACCUUCAACAUCUCCUCGUACCACUCCAUUGCCGAGUCCAAGCUGUCGUUCGACGUGUGGCACCUGAGCGCCGACGAGGCCAGCGGGACCAUGAGGUUGUUCGCAUCAGUGAAGGUUCCGGCAGGCUCAAGGAGCCUGAAUCAGGUGUGGCAAGUGGGCAGUGCAGUCGAUGGAACGAGGCCGAGGAUCCACGACAUGGCAGAUGCCAACAAGGACGCCAAGGCGACCCUAGUGCUGGCGGCGGCUGGGAGCAGUAUUGGUGGUUCUCCGGCGGUUUCUCCGGUACCGGCGCCGGCCAGUGGGGUUUCAAGGGUUGGGGAGGCGAGUACCGCUGCUACUGCUUUCUUGGUCUUGAGCUUGGUUUUUCUAGGCAGUAGUUACUUCGGGCUUUACUAAAUGUUUCUUUCGUGACAAUAUAGAUGUUCUUCAAUUUUUGUCUAAUCUCGAGCUUAGUUAAGCUCAAAUUCAACCUCGAGAUUGCAUUUGUUUAGCAAAAAAUGCCUUGAAAUUGAAAAGCAAUAGUGUCUAUUUGCAUAAUUAUAACAAGA